Molecule: transfer RNA, 77 nt
Filed under: Arminella tubonensis
Lineage: Bacteria; Pseudomonadati; Pseudomonadota; Alphaproteobacteria; Hyphomicrobiales; Rhizobiaceae
Also listed under: 1 other name
Description: Rhizobium tubonense tRNA-Arg
Rfam family: tRNA
About the family: Transfer RNA (tRNA) molecules are approximately 80 nucleotides in length. Their secondary structure includes four short double-helical elements and three loops (D, anti-codon, and T loops).
Source: RNAcentral
GGCCCCUUAGCUCAGCUGGAUAGAGCACCUGCCUUCUAAGCAGGUGGUCGCAGGUUCGAGUCCUGCAGGGGUCGCCA